AAGCGCUUGUGACCAGACUUGGGCCCGGUUAAUCAUCCAGCGUUCUCGCUGGUGCACUUGGCCGGCCCAGGCCAGCAUCAGUUCGGCGCGGGGGAUAAAGACUUUGGGAAUGUGGCUCCUCCGGGAGUGUUAUAGCCCACUGUGUAAUACCCUGCGCUGGACUGAGGUUCGCGCAUCUGCAAGGAUGCUGGCGUAAUGGUCAUCAGCGA
This 209-nucleotide ribosomal RNA is filed under the name Fusicolla violacea. Its description in RNAcentral is "partial large subunit ribosomal RNA". The record is from RNAcentral. Lineage: Eukaryota; Fungi; Ascomycota; Sordariomycetes; Hypocreales; Nectriaceae.